CGCCAAAAACUCACUGGGAAUCAGAACCCAUCGCUGUGGAUCUACAGAACAAACCCUAAUCCUACGCUGAUACAACUCCCAAAGCCAUGUCAUCGGCCCUUGCCAGGUCCGUUCUUCUCUCCAGCGCCACCAGGACCUCGGCGCCAAAACCUAAAAUCACCGUCGAUCUUCCGACGCCAGCAUCUCCGACAUAGUCUCCGAACGCAGCAAGCCUCCCGUCUACGAGAUCGGUGCCUCGGAGGAGAUAUGAUCUUCUGCUGUCUUUAGCAAACCGGUAUGCGGCGACUCCACAUCUCCAACGAAGUCUCCUAAAGCCCCUUUCGUCUACAAGAGGUCCGCCUCGGAGAACGCUCACCUUGUCUAUCGACGGUCUACCUUGAUAUCCUUAAGGACGUCGAAGCGUCGCCUCCACAUAGUCUUCAAGAUGUUUGCUAUUUGAAUCCUAAGGCGAUUUUAGUUGAGGAGAUAUGAUGUUCUGGUGUCUUUAGCAAACCGCUCUGCAGCAACUCCACAUCCCCAACAAAGUCUCCUAAAGCCCCUCUCGUCUACAAGAGGCGGCCUCGGAGAACUCUCGCCUUGUUGGUCGACGGUUUACCUUGAUAUCCUUAAGGACGUCGAAGUGUCGCCUCCACAUAAUCUUCAAGAGGUAGCUGGAUGAUUUGAAAUAUCGCUUGCUUUGAUUGUGCCAAAGAGUGGUGAAAACUCUUUUGAGAUCAGCUACUAAAGUAACUCUACCACAUUUUACGGUAAGUGUUAGGUACGGUAAGUGCCAUACCAAAACAUCAUGGUACGAGUUUGGUACUCUGAGUGCCAUACCAAAAGAUUACAGUAAAAAUUAAAUCCUCUUUCCGUCAGAGUCCAUCAUCUAGUUCAUUUGGGUGAUGGUCCAGCUGGAGAAAUCCCUUUGUUAGGGAUUGAAAUUUUGUUGCUCUUUUCUUUAUUAUGUGGCUUAUAUUUGUUGCAAUAUUAUUACAUUCUGUUUUACAUGUAUUUUAUAUGAGAUGGGGGUAAAUUUUGUAUGUUGUGUCAUAUGGUCCUCAA
Long non-coding RNA from Tripterygium wilfordii, 1041 nucleotides. RefSeq lists it as uncharacterized. The transcript is spliced from 4 exons. The record is from RefSeq and is a predicted model, not a curated record. NCBI's taxonomy places the organism in Eukaryota, Viridiplantae, Streptophyta, Magnoliopsida, Celastrales, Celastraceae.